GACGAACGCUGGCGGCGUGCUUAACACAUGCAAGUCGAGCGGUAAGGCUCCUUCGGGAGUACACGAGCGGCGAACGGGUGAGUAACACGUGAGUAAUCUGCCCUUCACUUCGGGAUAACCACCGGAAGCGGUGGCUAAUACCGAAUACGACCAGUCUUCGCAUGAGGUGCUGGUGGAAAGUCUUUUCGGUGAAGGAUGUGCUCGCGGCCUAUCAGCUUGUUGGUGGGGUAAUGGCCUACCAAGGCUUCGACGGGUAGCCGGCCUGAGAGGGUGACCGGCCACACUGGGACUGAGACACGGCCCAGACUCCUACGGGAGGCAGCAGUGGGGAAUAUUGGACAAUGGGCGAAAGCCUGAUCCAGCAACGCCGCGUGAGGGAUGACGGCCUUCGGGUUGUAAACCUCUUUCAGUACCGACGAAGCGCCCUGUCGGGUGGUGACGGUAGGUACAGAAGAAGGACCGGCCAACUACGUG
Molecule: ribosomal RNA, 474 nt
Filed under: uncultured bacterium
Lineage: Bacteria
Description: partial 16S ribosomal RNA
Rfam family: Bacterial small subunit ribosomal RNA
Source: RNAcentral